UUUUUUUUAAAAGUAAUUAUGUUCUUGACUAACAUUAUCAUUAACUUUUCUAAUUGUGUGGUUUUUUUUUUGAAAAGUAAUCAUGUUCUUGACUAACAUUGUCAUUAACUUUUCCAAACACUACUUCUUAGACAUAUACAGCACUCCCUGCAUAUAAAAAGCAUAGAACGCUUUAACAGAACUGAUUGAUGACAUCUAGCCAUAUUCAUUCAUCGCCCAAUAAAACAGACAGUAAACUUUGCAAACAACAACAAAUACGUCCGACGACCAAAACAAAUAUUAUAAAAGAAUAAC
RNAcentral lists this long non-coding RNA (294 nucleotides) under Daucus carota (carrot). Its description in RNAcentral is "long non-coding RNA (DCAR_LNC006294)". The record is from RNAcentral. Lineage: Eukaryota; Viridiplantae; Streptophyta; Magnoliopsida; Apiales; Apiaceae.